UGGGAUAUAGCUCAGUGGUAGAGUACUUGUUCCUUAUGCAGGAGACCCUAGAUUCCAUCUCUAGUACCAA
This 70-nucleotide transfer RNA is filed under the name Rattus norvegicus (Norway rat). It matches the Rfam family "tRNA". Rfam says of the family: Transfer RNA (tRNA) molecules are approximately 80 nucleotides in length. Their secondary structure includes four short double-helical elements and three loops (D, anti-codon, and T loops). The record is from Rfam by way of RNAcentral. Lineage: Eukaryota; Metazoa; Chordata; Mammalia; Rodentia; Muridae.